AUUGAACGCUGGCGGCAUGCCUUACACAUGCAAGUCGAACGGCAGCGGACCUUCGGGUGCCGGCGAGUGGCGAACGGGUGAGUAAUAUAUCGGAACGUACCUUUCAGUGGGGGAUAACGUAGCGAAAGUUACGCUAAUACCGCAUAUUCUGUGAGCAGGAAAGCAGGGGAUCGCAAGACCUUGCGCUGAUUGAGCGGCCGAUAUCAGAUUAGCUAGUUGGUGAGGUAAAGGCUCACCAAGGCGACGAUCUGUAGCGGGUCUGAGAGGAUGAUCCGCCACACUGGAACUGAGACACGGUCCAGACUCCUACGGGAGGCAGCAGUGGGGAAUUUGGACAAUGGGCGCAAGCCUGAUCCAGCCAUGCCGCGUGAGUGAAGAAGGCCUCGGUUGUAAGCUCUUCGUCCGGAGGAAUACGCACAGGUAAUACCCUGUGUGGAUGACGGUACCGGAAUAAGAAGACACGGCUAACUACGUGCCAG
This 479-nucleotide ribosomal RNA is filed under the name uncultured bacterium. RNAcentral's name for it is "bacterial SSU rRNA". It matches the Rfam family "Bacterial small subunit ribosomal RNA", at positions 30 to 511 of the family's 1533-position model. The record is from RNAcentral.